This 1885-nucleotide ribosomal RNA is filed under the name human gut metagenome. RNAcentral describes it as "bacterial LSU rRNA". It matches the Rfam family "Bacterial large subunit ribosomal RNA", at positions 3 to 1984 of the family's 2925-position model. The record is from RNAcentral.
UCAAGCUACAAAGAGCACAAGGGGAAUGCCUUGGCACCGAGAGCCGAAGAAGGACGUGACUAACUGCGAUAAGCUACGGGGAGCUGUAAGUGAGCGUUAUAUCCGUAGAUUUCCGAAUGGAGCAAUCCGAUUAGAGGAAAGUCUAAUCAUCAUAUACUGAAUACAUAGGUAUAUGAGGGGAACCGCCUGAACUGAAACAUCUAAGUAGGGCGAGGAAGAGAAAUCAACAGAGAUUCCGUAAGUAGUGGCGAGCGAACGCGGAAGAGGCCAAACCUAAUGUAGUAAUAUGUUAGGGGUUCGGACAGUAAAAUGAAUUGUCGAGAUUUAGCCGAAUGUCAUGGGAAGGGCAAUCAAAGAAGGUGAAAAUCCUGUAGGCGAAAAGUUAAGACAUCAGACUGUAUCCAGAGUACCGCCGGACACGUGAAACCCGGUGGGAAUACGGGGGGACCAUCCUCCAAGCCUAAAUACUACUCGGUGACCGAUAGAGAAGAAGUACUGUGAAGGAAAGGUGAAAAGCACCCCGGAAGGGGAGUGAAAGAGAACCUGAAACCUUGUGUUUACAAGCACCGAAAGUUCAUCAACGAACGAUCGGGUACCUUUUGUAGAAUGGUCCGGCGAGUGAAUGUAACUGGCAAGGUUAAGCACUUAAGGUGUGAAGCCGUAGCGAGAGCGAGUCUGAAAAGGGCGCAUGAAGUCAGUUGUAUUCGACCCGAAACCGGGUGACCUACCCAUGUCCAGGCUGAAGUGCAGGUAAAACUUCAUGGAGGGCCGAACCGACUCCCGUUGAAAUGGUAGCGGAUGAGGUGUGGGUAGCGGAGAAAUUCCAAUCGAACCCGGAGAUAGCUGGUUCUCUCCGAAAUAGCUUUAGGGCUAGCCUUGGAAUAGAUUACUGGAGGUAAAGCACUGAAUUGGCUAGGGGCCGAGAGGUUACUGAACCUUAUCAAACUAAGAAUGCCAGAUAAUCGUUUUCCAGGAGUCAGACAGUGGGAGAUAAGUUUCAUUGUCAAAAGGGAAACAGCCCAGACCUACAGCUAAGGUCCCAAAGUAUAGUUAAGUGGAAAAGGAUGUGGAAUUGCAUAGACAACCAGGAUGUUGGCUUAGAAGCAGCCACUCAUUAAAAGAGUGCGUAAUAGCUCACUGGUCGAGUGAUUCUGCGCCGAAAAUUUAACGGGGCUAAACUAUACACCGAAGCUUAGGAUACCGCAAGGUAUGGUAGGAGAGCGUUCUGUACGGAGUGAAGUCGUAGCGAAAGCGGCGGUGGACUGUACAGAAGUGAGAAUGCCGGAAUAAGUAGCGAGAAUUAAGUGAGAAUCUUAAUGGCCGAAAGUCUAAGGUUUUUGGAGGAAGGUUCGUCCGCUCCAAGUAAGUCGGGAGCUAAGGUCAGGCCGAAAGGCGUAGCCGAUGCACAAACGGUUGAUAUUCCGUUACCGUCUACAAUUUAAACAAAGGGACACAUACAAAGCGUUUAACCCGGGCGAUGGUUGACCCGGGCGCAAGGGACUGAAAUUAGAGUAGGGAAGUAAAUGUGGCGUAUGGCGAGAAAAGCUUUGUGUAUAGAAGUAGACGCCCGUACCGCAAACCGACACAGGUGGACAGGAAGAGAAUUCUAAGGCCAGCGGGAGAAGGGUAGUUAAGGAACUCGGCAAAUUGACUCCGUAACUUCGGAAUAAGGAGUGCUCGAAAGAGCCGCAGAGAAUAGGCCCAGGCGACUGUUUAGCAAAAACACAGGUCUCUGCCAAAUCGAAAGAUGAAGUAUAGGGGCUGACACCUGCCCGGUGCCGGAAGGUUAAGAGGAGGAGUGCAAGCUCCGAAUUGAAGCCCCGGUAAACGGCGGCCGUAACUAUAACGGUCCUAAGGUAGCGAAAUUCCUUGUCGGGUAAGUUCC